Molecule: ribosomal RNA, 497 nt
Filed under: uncultured bacterium
Lineage: Bacteria
Description: partial 16S ribosomal RNA
Rfam family: Bacterial small subunit ribosomal RNA
Source: RNAcentral
GACGAACGCUGGCGGCGUGCCUAAUACAUGCAAGUAGAACGCUGAAGAGAGGAGCUUACUCUUCUUGGAUGAGUUGCGAACGGGUGAGUAACGCGUAGGUAACCUGCCUUGUAGCGGGGGAUAACUAUUGGAAACGAUAGCUAAUACCGCAUAACAAUGGAUGACACAUGUCAUUUAUUUGAAAGGGGCAAUUGCUCCACUACAAGAUGGACCUGCGUUGUAUUAGCUAGUAGGUGAGGUAAUGGCUCACCUAGGCGACGAUACAUAGCCGACCUGAGAGGGUGAUCGGCCACACUGGGACUGAGACACGGCCCAGACUCCUACGGGAGGCAGCAGUAGGGAAUCAUCGGCAAUGGGGGCAACCCUGACCGAGCAACGCCGCGUGAGGGAAGAAGGUUUUCGGAUCGUAAAGCUCUGUUGUAAGUGAAGAACGGGUGUGAGAGUGGAAAGUUCACACUGUGACGGUAGCUUACCAGAAAGGGACGGCUAACUACGUG